UGACUGGUGUUAUUUUGUGUACAUGCCACACU
RNAcentral lists this non-coding RNA (32 nucleotides) under Rattus norvegicus (Norway rat). Lineage: Eukaryota; Metazoa; Chordata; Mammalia; Rodentia; Muridae. The record is from RNAcentral.